AGAGUUUGAUCCUGGCUCAGGAUGAACGCUAGCGGCAGGCUUAACACAUGCAAGUCGAGGGGCAACGCGAGUAGCAAUACUUGGCGGCGACCGGCGCAAGGGUGCGUAACGCGUGAGCAACAUGCCCGUAUCAGGGGGAUAAUCCAGGGAAACUUGGUCUAAUACCCCAUAGUAAUUUCGUAAGGCAUCUUAUGGGAUUUAAAGCUUUGGUGGAUACGGAUUGGCUCGCGUGACAUUAGCUGGAUGGUAAGGUAACGGCUUACCAUGGCAAUGAUGUCUAGGGGUUCUGAGAGGAAGGUCCCCCACACUGGAACUGAGACACGGUCCAGACUCCUACGGGAGGCAGCAGUGAGGAAUAUUGGACAAUGGAUCGAAAUCUGAUCCAGCCAUGCCGCGUGAAGGAAGAAUGUCCUAUGGAUUGUAAACUUCUUUUGUAUGGGAGCAAUAAGGUAUUCGUGAAUACUGAUGAGAGUACCAUACGAAUAAGCAUCGGCUAACUCCGUGCCAGCAGCCGCGGUAAUACGGAAGAUGCGAGCGUUAUCCGGAUUUAUUGGGUUUAAAGGGUGCGUAGGCUGUUAUAUAAGUCAGUGGUGAAAUAUUCGGGCUCAACCGGGAUACUGCCAUUGAUACUGUAUAGCUGGAAUAUGGUUGCUGUGGGUGGAAUGUGUGGUGUAGCGGUGAAAUGCAUAGAUAUCACACAGAAUAUCGAUUGCGAAGGCAACUCACAAAGCCAUUAUUGACGCUGAUGCACGAAAGUGUGGGGAUCAAACAGGAUUAGAUACCCUGGUAGUCCACACUGUAAACGAUGAUAACUAGCUGUCGGCGAUACACAGUCGGUGGCCAAGCGAAAGCGAUAAGUUAUCCACCUGGGGAGUACGACCGCAAGGUUGAAACUCAAAUGAAUUGACGG
RNAcentral lists this ribosomal RNA (910 nucleotides) under uncultured Bacteroidota bacterium. RNAcentral's name for it is "bacterial SSU rRNA". It matches the Rfam family "Bacterial small subunit ribosomal RNA", at positions 8 to 916 of the family's 1533-position model. The record is from RNAcentral. Lineage: Bacteria; Pseudomonadati; Bacteroidota.